UGGGCACUAGAUUUGCCCUUUUCAAGUCUUCUGGAAUCUCUCUCGCCUUUCACGACUUCAAAGAUACUCGCUAGUGGCUCCGAUAUCUCCCCAGUCACGCCCCGAGUAUUCUAGGAGGCAUUUCAUCCGGCCCUGGUGAUUUGAAGACAUCUAACUUGUCUACGUAAUUUUUUUGACUUGUUUUUUCCCUCUUUUAGACUCUGAUUCUCACUGGCAUUUACUACGUUCGAUGUCCACUCGCCACCAACCUUUCUUGGUGAAACCCGAAACAAAGACGUCAUUACGCACCUCUGCCAUUUCCACAAUUUCUGUUACGGUCUUUCCUCCCCUCCCCUGAGUAAUGGGCCUA
Long non-coding RNA from Gopherus evgoodei (Goodes thornscrub tortoise), 349 nucleotides. RefSeq lists it as uncharacterized. The record is from RefSeq and is a predicted model, not a curated record. NCBI's taxonomy places the organism in Eukaryota, Metazoa, Chordata, Testudines, Testudinidae. The transcript has 3 exons.